Molecule: ribosomal RNA, 253 nt
Filed under: uncultured bacterium
Lineage: Bacteria
Description: partial 16S ribosomal RNA
Rfam family: Bacterial small subunit ribosomal RNA
Source: RNAcentral
UACGGAGGAUCCAAGCGUUAUCCGGAUUUAUUGGGUUUAAAGGGUGCGUAGGCGGCUUAUUAAGUCAGAGGUGAAAGCCCGGAGCUUAACUCCGGAACUGCCUUUGAUACUGAUGAGCUUGAAUAUAGUUGAGGUGGGCGGAAUGUGUCAUGUAGCGGUGAAAUGCUUAGAUAUGACACAGAACACCAAUUGCGAAGGCAGCUCGCUAAACUAUUAUUGACGCUGAGGCACUAAAGCGUGGGGAUCAAACAGG